Long non-coding RNA from Vespula pensylvanica (western yellowjacket), 1367 nucleotides. RefSeq lists it as uncharacterized. The record is from RefSeq and is a predicted model, not a curated record. NCBI's taxonomy places the organism in Eukaryota, Metazoa, Arthropoda, Insecta, Hymenoptera, Vespidae. The transcript is spliced from 2 exons.
GAAACCUAACGAUAGAUCGAGAUAAUAUCGAGAGAGGUCACUGCAAUCCGUUGAACCGAGGAGAAGGACUACCCCCACCAUCGGACAUUAUCAAGCAUAGAGGGGAGCCGGGUGCACGGGAUUAGGACGAGUCGACGAGCGAGUCAGUACGACUCGUGACGUCCUCGACGUCGGUCGAUCUUACUUUUUUCGUAUCUUCUGUAUUACGUACUAUACACACAUACACACAUAUAUAUCUAUACGUUACAUGCAUACCUAUAUAUAUAACACACGUAUUAUAUAUAUUACAUAUCGUGCACUCAUUAACAUUCAACCACAUAUAUGCAUUCACACAAACUCGAAACGUGUUUCUAUCUUUCUCUUUCUUACGCGUACAGUGCUUCGUAAUUUUCUCGUGUAAAAUCUCUCUCUCUCUCUCUCUCUCUCUCUCUCUCUCUCUCUUUCUAUCUUUCAAUCUUUCUCUUUUUAUCUCUCUCUUUCUCUCCUUCCAUCUCAACGAGUAUCCUUUCUAACACGACACAAUACAAUAUUUGGGUUAUGUGUGUAUCGCGUGGCGCGCGUUUCCCACGCGUCCGACGCGUUUGUUAAGUUUCGUACGAUUUUCGUCUACGAAUGAGGAUUACGUAAAGAAGAAAAGACACAUAAAGAAAAAUUUGUUCGAAAGGAAGUUUUGGCGGGCGAACGUCCGUGCAUCGUAUCGUGCGUGGGUGCGUGCAUACGUGCGUGCGUGCGUGCGAGUGAAACGAGCAAGCAAGCAAGCAAGCUUCCUCGUUCGGGUUUCUUCGUCUUCGUCUUCGUCUUCGUCUUCGUCGUGUCGUCGUGUCGUUGUCGCGUCGCAUCUUGUCUCGUUCGUUCGUUCGUUCGUUCGUUCGUUCGUUCGUCGUGAUUCGUACGACCAGUACGAAAAGUAAACGCCAAGGAAAUAUAAAUAGAAGGUAAAGAACGAAGUUACAAAGUUGGAAAGAAAAUUGUUGGUGACCGAUUAAAAAAAAAAAUAAAAAAUUAAACAAGUGUCGUCGUUAGAAACGUUUCAACAGUGAAAGUGAUUUUUCUACCAACGACUCGAGCCCAUAACCAACAACUUCCCUUCUUACGCUCGAUCCGAUCAUCUACGACGAAACCAACCAACCAACCAACCAACCAACCCUCAUCAACCCCUCCAUUUCCAACCCCCUCACCUUAAGCUUCCCUUCACCUCGACCAAAAUAAAAAAAUCGAAAAGUUUUUUCUUCCGAAAGUAAGAGAUGUCGUCGACGCCGUUGAAAGCCGAACCCACCGGCGGUUAUGUCAUCGAAAAUUGGAGGCAAGUUCGUCAAGAUCGGCGAACCUGUUAAGAGAACGAAUAAAAAGAAAAAGAAGAAGAAAAA